Molecule: long non-coding RNA, 1630 nt
Organism: Selaginella moellendorffii
Lineage: Eukaryota; Viridiplantae; Streptophyta; Lycopodiopsida; Selaginellales; Selaginellaceae
Exons: 2
Source: RefSeq, a predicted model, not a curated record
GGAGAGAGCUCGAAGGCACUAGAGAGAGAGUGUGAGAAAGAGGGAGGGAGCGAGUGUCCAGGGCGGCACAAGCAUCGCAGACCGCGGCAGCAACACACGGAGCUCGUCUCCCUCCUCUUUCUCCUCUUUUCUCUCGCUCUCUGUCGUUUUUAUCGAUAUCUCCCAAACGGCUGGGAGAAACCUCGAUUCCUUCGACGGGGGGCUUCUAGGAGUGUAGAUUCUCAUCCUCCUAGAAGGCCGCGGCGAGAUCUGCCACGGAUCUGGAGAUCUCGCUGGCCCUAGGUCGCUGCUGUUUUUAGGGUUCUUCGGCGGCGGCUAGGGUUUUUCGGGGCUUAGAGAUCUGGAGGAGUGGAGAGGGCAGCUAGGAACACCACGGCUGCAGCAGCUGGACGCUCUCCUCUCCUCCUCUUCUUUUUUCGCUUCUCAUGGUUUCAAGUUUUUUGGGAGCUCAUAACUCCUGAACGGCUUGGAAUUUUUCCACAAAAAUUCACAGGGGGAUAGCUGGGAGGGAGCCUCACACCCUCCCAGAAGCGCAGGCAAAAAUUCUUCACGGUCUCAGAGUUCUCACCUGCCCUAAUUCGUGGCUAGGGUUAGGGUUCUUGGCUGGCUUUUGCCCUAACUGCGGUUAGGGCAGGACUUAGGGUGGCGGCGGGAUCUUCGAUCCGGCCACUCUAAGUGUCAGGGAUCUUCGUUGCAUGUGGUUGGCACGGCAGCAACAUGGUGGAAACGCAACGGUUGCUGGUCUCGCAGCUUCGAGCGGGAUUUCUCGCCUUAGGUCGGGCCAUGCAAGGUGGCGACUAAGGUACGGAGAGCGUGAAGCUGCAUGUGUCGGAGGUUCUUGGCGACUUGAGUCGUGGAAACACGACCAAGUCAUGGGAACUUUGUUGACUGGUGGAGGACAGUUUGGGACGACAUCCCGACAUAGCGAAGUGUCCGCGGUGGAUGGACGUGGAAGACACUAUGGGCGCAUUUUUGGAUCUAGUGACAGGGAAGUGCUGUCACAAAGGGGGCCAGUGGCGGAUGGCUGAGUUGGUUUGCUCGCGGAGGGGAUCCCACAUGGUUCUUGCUUCAGGGCUAGUCCUUUGAGGAGGUUCGCGGAGGCUUGCAAGUCUUGUGAUUGUCGCGAUGCCGGCAACGGGGGCUCGUAUAUCAUUGAAGGGGGCCAGCGCACUUGUCUAGUGUGGGAGGCAAGGUAGCAUGCUCUAGUCUAGAGCUGGAGGAGGCUCACACCUCGCUUGUUCUACGCUUUGGAGUUUGUUCGCAAUGGGCACCGACUUAGUGCUGGAAGUACACUGGGGAGCUUGUGCAGUGGAGUCACCUUGGAGGCGAGUGACCCAUGAGCAACGCCGGGUCAUCGUGCUCGAGUUGGACCACUUGGCUGCGACGACAUCGAGCUAGAUCGACAUGGUGUUCGUCUGGCUUGUCAUCAUUGUGACCGAGUGGAGGAGUGGCAAGGCGAAGCAGGUGGCUUCAAGCUCCGCGGUGGAGUCACCUGGGAGGCGGACGGCCCAAGAGCAGCGCCGGGCGUUCGCGCUCAUAGUUUCACUAGUCUCUUCGAGAGUGCGCUCUCAAUGUUGUUUUGAUCCCUUUGGGAUUGGGGUAAUGUACAUACAUGUUUAGCGAUGGCCAA